This 682-nucleotide long non-coding RNA is filed under the name Sus scrofa (pig). Its description in RNAcentral is "lncRNA (ENSSSCG00070023988.1)". The record is from RNAcentral. Lineage: Eukaryota; Metazoa; Chordata; Mammalia; Artiodactyla; Suidae.
GCCUCCCCAAAGCCCAGCAGAUUGAGAAUGAAACAAGAACAUUCACUAUGUGAACUAGAAACAGGAGAGGAUAUUCUGGCUCAUCAAGCAUGGAUAGCAGCAGGAAAUCUCCAGUUUUGGUCUGUGGGGACUUGGUGAGACAGACCAAAGUAGGAGGAAAAUGGUAGACCCAUGGCACAAAAUUGAGUGUCGUCUUAUGCUGAAGAUGUGAUGAACAAAAAAAGGAAAGAAGAAAAGAAGGGAACACAGAUAGCAAGCAGCAAGUGAAUGGAAUACUGCACAUCUACCUAGCCAGCAAGGGGCGCUCUCAGGAGCCUAUACCAGGACCCCUGAGUCCCAGCCUGCAGUGUCACAUACUGCCCCACUCCGCUGCCAGCGUUACUGCUGCAGUAAUCCUUUACCCUCUUCCUCCUGUCUCUGUUAUCCACUCACCUUACUUCUAUUCAUUCAAGUUCAUAAGCCUGCAUUUUGGGACCCUGGCAGUAAGCACCUGCAAGCACUAAUGAAGGCAACAAUUCAUAACCAAGAUUGUCCUUCAGAAUCGUCUAAAGGAUUUCAGUACACACGUGGACCAGAAGUCCAAGCCAGAGCUCCCAGAGAAGAAUUUUCAAGCACCCCCCUCCCACAAAAGUGGUGAGAGUAUCAUAGAAUAAAUCAUCACCAGGUAAGCUAGCUUGAGACA